Long non-coding RNA from Astatotilapia calliptera (eastern happy), 1527 nucleotides. The record is from Ensembl. NCBI's taxonomy places the organism in Eukaryota, Metazoa, Chordata, Actinopteri, Cichliformes, Cichlidae.
GUGCAGCCUCUCGCACAGCAUACCCGGGUGUCCACUGGCAGCAAAAUGACAUUAUACCUAGAAAAUUUCUUUGUGACUUUGGAAUGGAUUGGAUUGCUGCAAUUCUUUUUUGGAGGGAGUGCGUUACUAUCUAAUCUGAUCACAUGUCCCAGGCCUGCUUAGAGGGAGAACACAUCAUUAAAUCAUUGACAUGUCCAACACUGUUGAUGAAAAGCAAUAAAGACCCAGUUGAAUGCUAACAACGUGGGGAGGGGUGGCCAUCAGAGGAAGAGGAUCAGAGAAGUCUGUGAUUUUACCUGGAACACUGAUUCAGGACCACGGGCAGGGCCACUCGGAGGUUGCUUCUGGGCCACAUGUGGCCCGCGGGCCGCCAUUUGAAGAGGCUUGGUGUAAGGUUGAAGCCAGGUGAUUGGAUCCGUGUCCGAGUACUCCAAAAAAAAAUUGGAGCUCGCCAUGGUGGGAGGGUCCAGACCAAGUGCUUCUGACCACUCCAACUGCCUGCAAAAUAGCGGAAAGACCUUCCUGGAUACACCAAAGCCACUGCAAGAAAGUUGAGGUCCCAGAGGAUUCCACUUCCUUCACAGAAAUCAACUAGUAGGGGAAAGUUUCACCCUCACUUGGUUGCUUCAGUGGUGAGGGGGAAGUGCUGAUUGAGCAUUGCUCGCACUUCCACCUCCAGCCAUUGGCCAACUCUAGAGUAACCAAGCAGUAGGGUGUGAUGGACCUGUACACAGCCAUGGGAAGGUGGACCCUCUUGGUUACCUUGACUACGAUGCUCACCCUUACAGGACCCCAGCUGAUGCCAACAACAGCUGAACCACGAGGCAGACAGAAAAGAUAGACGCAUGACAACUCCCGUCUAAGAGACAUAACACAAGACCACAUCCACCCUUGGAUGAAUAAUGCCUGAUACCGCUAUAUCCACGACAGGACCAGGGCAGAAUCGGAAAAUACAGACUGUUAUGUCUGUUCUCAUAUGCCCAGCACGGCGACACACCCCACACUAUAUGGCAAAUACAUGGACAACACUCAAGCCAAGUGUGCUGCUAGCUUCGCUGGCAUUGGAUUCCAACACAGCCAAAUCACCAUCGACCCGACAAACCUAUCUACCUUUUACACUCUUCACGUCAACCUUCAAGGAGGGUUACAACACAAGAAAAUCACCAUUGAAGACUUUGUACUUGAUAGCAUGUGAUCAACUUUUCUGGAUCAACUUCAAUGUGACAAACCGGAAUACAUCCAUCCAUUUCCCAGUGUUCUUGGACCAAACUCCAGGGAAAAACCACUCCAUGUGCUAUAAACUAAACAAAGGUAACAGGCCGCUUGGAAACACCACCAACUGCAACCGGACCGCUGGAGGAGGAGAAGGUGCCCCUGUGAACACGCCUGGACCGUCUAAUGGCACGUACUGGGUGCAAGGAAUGGCCCGGCUAUGUGGACAACGGGCAUAUUUCAUACUGCCACCAGGCUGGACAGGAACAUGUGCUCCUAUAUUCCUGUCAGACCACACUUUCAGGAUGACCGCAG